This 343-nucleotide unclassified non-coding RNA is filed under the name soil metagenome. Its description in RNAcentral is "partial contains 5.8S ribosomal RNA, internal transcribed spacer 2, and large subunit ribosomal RNA". The stretch from base 1 to 120 matches the Rfam family "5.8S ribosomal RNA", at positions 35 to 154 of the family's 154-position model. The record is from RNAcentral.
GAUGAAGAACGCAGCGAAAUGCGAUAAGUAAUGUGAAUUGCAGAAUCCAGUGAAUCAUCGAAUCUUUGAACGCACAUUGCGCCCGCCAGCAUUCUGGCGGGCAUGCCUGUUCGAGCGUCAUUUCAACCCUCGACCUCCCUUUGGGGAAGUCGGCGUUGGGGACCGGCAGCACACCGCCGGCCCUGAAAUGGAGUGGCGGCCCGUCCGCGGCGACCUCUGCGUAGUAAACCAACUCGCACCGGAACCCCGACGUGGCCACGCCGUAAAACACCCAACUUCUGAACGUUGACCUCGAAUCAGGUAGGACUGCCCGCUGAACUUAAGCAUAUCAAUAAGCGGAGGA